Regulatory RNA element from Photobacterium damselae subsp. damselae CIP 102761, 99 nucleotides. It matches the Rfam family "TPP riboswitch aptamer (THI element)". From Rfam's summary of the family: Vitamin B(1) in its active form thiamin pyrophosphate (TPP) is an essential coenzyme that is synthesised by coupling of pyrimidine and thiazole moieties in bacteria. Lineage: Bacteria; Pseudomonadati; Pseudomonadota; Gammaproteobacteria; Vibrionales; Vibrionaceae. The record is from Rfam.
CUCAACUUGUCGGAGUGCCAUGUGGCUGAGACCGUGUAAACGGGAUCCGUUGAACCUGAUCAGGCUAAUACCUGCGAAGGGAACAAGAGAAGAUAAUUU